CAGUAGCCGCGGUAAUACGUAGGGUGCAAGCGUUAAUCGGAAUUACUGGGCGUAAAGCGUGCGCAGGCGGUUUGUUAAGACAGAUGUGAAAUCCCCGGGCUCAACCUGGGAACUGCAUUUGUGACUGGCAAGCUAGAGUCUGGCAGAGGGGGGUGGAAUUCCGCGUGUAGCAGUGAAAUGCGUAGAUAUGCGGAGGAACACCGAUGGCGAAGGCAGCCCCCUGGGCCAACACUGACGCUCAUGCACGAAAGCGUGGGGAGCAAACAGGAUUAGAUACCCGCGUAGUCCCUGUCUCUUAUAA
RNAcentral lists this ribosomal RNA (301 nucleotides) under uncultured bacterium. Its description in RNAcentral is "partial 16S ribosomal RNA". It matches the Rfam family "Bacterial small subunit ribosomal RNA", at positions 509 to 809 of the family's 1533-position model. The record is from RNAcentral.